UUUAUGUUGCAAAUAUCCCCUAGAAGAUGGUAUUGAUUCACUGUCUUGUCAGCAAUAUGAGAGUAAAGUGACCAGGUACUCAGAAAUAUCAGAAUUGUCCCCCCUCGACUUCCUGAGCACAACUGUUUGUUAUUUUUGAAAGACGUCUGACUAGGGCUCUGCCUGUGGGUGUUUAUCAUUCAAAAAUGUUUAUUUCCUCCUCUGCCAUGAACAUGGAAAGAAUAUACUUCACCGUAGCUUGAUUUGGGGUUUGGCCAUGCGGCCCAGGCAUGUCUGACCCUGUGCGUUCUCUCGUUCCUCUCACACCGCCAUGAAUACAGCUUCCCCUCUGAGGUAGGGUUUAGUUUUCACAGGAUGAAACAGCUGGGGCAGAUCUAGAGCCAAUCAGCAGCUUUGAGCUGCUCAGCUAACCCCAGCCUUUAUCAGCCACAAGUGAGUGAAAUUAGCACCUUGAUACUGUAUGUUACUGAAACAUACACCUGAUGCUGUAUGUUACUCGAUGCUGUAUGUUACUGUAACGUGGUGGUGGUUUAUUAUGCAACAAUAUCUGACUGACACACUGGUUACUGCCAAGAGUUGUGAGGAAGGAAAACCGGCCAGUCCUGGACAUAGCUGGGGCACGCUGCUCUAUCGCUGGCUCUUUGCACCAUUCUUUUGAGCUCACUAGGUGAAGAUGCAGCGUUCACUCUCUACCAUGUUAGAUCCCAGCAACAAGGCACCAUCUCUGGGGCAGAGGCUGAACUCGCCGCAGACACCGCGUCUUCCAGUCAUCUGGAUCUUCAACUUUCCAGUCUCCAGAACUACUGGCUAUGUUGAUUUAAACAAUCAAGAAUCAUUCUACCUACUUGAAAUGCUGAUUCACUAGUCCAUGCACACCGCCACAAUGUUGAAGUCAAACAAAAUGAUGAUGCUUUCAGGCAAAAUCAAUUCCCUUCCCUCUUUAAUCUGCCCUGUCCCUCACCUUCACACUGGCCUGUGGGGGAGUUCAAAGCGCCUUUAUCCAAUUGAGCACUGGAGGCCAGGCCACCUUGGUCUCCCAGUCAUCAACUGAAAUCAGAAUUUUGAUUCUGGUCCUGAUGAGACCCACCACUAACCACAGAGGUGAUCAGGGGCACUCACUUCGUCUCGGGGCAUCAGCU
Molecule: non-coding RNA, 1139 nt
Organism: Oryctolagus cuniculus (rabbit)
Lineage: Eukaryota; Metazoa; Chordata; Mammalia; Lagomorpha; Leporidae
Source: RefSeq, a predicted model, not a curated record